RNAcentral lists this ribosomal RNA (240 nucleotides) under Vibrio parahaemolyticus. RNAcentral describes it as "partial 23S ribosomal RNA". It matches the Rfam family "Bacterial large subunit ribosomal RNA", at positions 327 to 572 of the family's 2925-position model. Lineage: Bacteria; Pseudomonadati; Pseudomonadota; Gammaproteobacteria; Vibrionales; Vibrionaceae. The record is from RNAcentral.
CGUUAGACGAACGGUCUGGAAAGUCCGACGAUACAGGGUGAUAGUCCCGUAGUUGACGACGUGUGUUCAGUGAAAUCGAGUAGGGCGGGACACGUGAUAUCCUGUCUGAAUAUGGGGGGACCAUCCUCCAAGGCUAAAUACUACUGACUGACCGAUAGUGAACCAGUACCGUGAGGGAAAGGCGAAAAGAACCCCUGUGAGGGGAGUGAAAUAGAACCUGAAACCGUGUACGUACAAGCA